RNAcentral lists this ribosomal RNA (253 nucleotides) under uncultured bacterium. RNAcentral describes it as "partial 16S ribosomal RNA". It matches the Rfam family "Bacterial small subunit ribosomal RNA", at positions 524 to 776 of the family's 1533-position model. The record is from RNAcentral.
UACGUAGGGUGCGAGCGUUAAUCGGAAUUACUGGGCGUAAAGCGUGCGCAGGCGGCUUUGUAAGCCAGAUGUGAAAUCCCCGGGCUUAACCUGGGAAUGGCAUUUGGGACUGCAAGGCUGGAGUGUGGCAGAGGAGACUGGAAUUCCUGGUGUAGCAGUGAAAUGCGUAGAUAUCAGGAGGAAUACCGAUGGCGAAGGCAGGUCUCUGGGCUGACACUGACGCUCAUGCACGAAAGCGUGGGGAGCAAACAGG